This 6965-nucleotide long non-coding RNA is filed under the name Sus scrofa (pig). Its description in RNAcentral is "lncRNA (ENSSSCG00000043245.2)". The record is from RNAcentral. Lineage: Eukaryota; Metazoa; Chordata; Mammalia; Artiodactyla; Suidae.
AGAGGAGGAAAACCUGAGAGUUGCUGUUAGAGCAGGUGUCCACAAGACGGCGCCAGAGCACCUUCUGGACCCAGGUGCAGCGGCAAGGCUGCAGGUGCAGGCUGAGUGGUGGGAUGGAGAGUGUGUGGAUAGGAAGCCACAGCAAGCGCCCAGAGGCCUUUGCGUUGGUUCCUGGGCACCGGGGACUGUCUGGUCCAAGACGCCUCCUGUCAGGCAGAGGACACAGGCGUCCCUGUAGCAUUGGGAGGUGGAUCGGCAGCCUGGUGGCUUGGGAGUGUGCUUCGAAGGCUGCUGGAAGGAGUCACUGGGUGUCGGAACGCCUUGUGUUCCUCCAGACGCAGGAGCGGAGACCCGCCCAGCAUCUGUGUGGUCUCGGGAGCUGGCCAUUUGCAAGGCCCUGACCGUCGGUGGUGGAUGUGGGUGGAGAAUCAGGCGUGCUGCUGCUGCUGCUGCUGCUGCUGCUGCUGCUGUGGAAGGAAUGGGGGGCUUUGGUGGCUUUGUGGUGGACCCAGAGCUGGGCGAAUCCCUGUGCUUCUCCCUUCCAAAGGCUCAGGGGAGUUUCCUUCUUGCCUUUUGAGAGGAGCCUCCCGUUUCCGGACGGGGCCAGGGUAUGGAGGCCUGAGCGAACCCAGGUCUGGUGAAUGAAGCAGGGUUGAUUGGAAUCACCCAGCAAGCUCUCAGGGAGUUCCCUCGUGGCUGCCUGGCUUGAGAGUGUCUAUCUGUCAGUGCUGUGGCUGUGGACAUGGCUCCAGCGAGAUCCAAGUCUGGCCAAAGGGCACCCCAUUGUCACAGGGGGCAUCGAGAUCCAUUUAUAAAGACGAAGAGAUGGGGACAGUAUGAGCUUAAUUGAGAAAGAAGAAAAGGGGUACACAUGCUUAUUCUGACAGUGUAGCUAAGGGUAUUGCCAGAUGAGGCCGUCCCAAAGGCUCUCCUGACCCUCUGCCUCAGGUGGCAGAGUGUUUGAAGGGCAAGCCUUGGGAUGGACAGCAUCGCAGUGGAUUCAUUGCCGGGGCAGAGUGUAUCUGCAUGCCACACAUGGGGGCAGGAACAUCAAUUAGGGAUUUAGAAACAUAAAAGGAAAUGCUAGUACAGAAAGAAAUUUAUCCACGCUUGGUCAUCACGUCGGGUCCCAGCUCAUAGUGCCAGUGCCCCUUGUCAGGGUCAACGGAGCCCGCCUGGCUUCUCCUGAGAGGCAGGGCUAUGUACCAUAGCACAUGCUGUGGGGAAUCCCAAGCCAUUAAGGGUGUGGGAUUUUAUCGGUGAUUAUUUUCCAUUCUCACGGAUGUAUGGUGCCCAGUUUCACUUGAGCACAAACGCGAUCCAGUCGUACAUGUAUAUGCAUCUUCUUUUGGUCGCAGUGUCUUCCAUUUUGGUUCCACAGAAGUGGCCAGGUAUAAUCCCUGUGCUAUAGAGCAGGACUUCAUUGCUAACACAUGCCAAGCACAAGAGGUUGACUCUACCACUCCCAAAUCCCAGGCCUUCCCACAGCCUCCCCCUACCAUCUGGCAACCACAGCGAUGUUUUCCAGUCUAUGAGCUGCUUCUACAUAGAAAGGUUCGUUGGUUCCAUUUGCUAGCUUCCACAUAGAAGGGAUAGCCCUUGGUAUGUGUCGUUCGUGUUCCGACUUAGUUCACCUAGUAUGAAACGAGGUGUCACCUAGCUUCUCGUGCCACCUACAUGGCUGCGAAUGGCAUUUUCCUCUUGCUCUGGGGUUUUCGGGGUUCUGCUUUUUUUUUUUUUCUCAAUGUUUGAGGAGCAUUCCAAUGUGUACAUAUCCACUCUCUUCCUAAUCCAAUCAUCUCUCGAUGGACAUUGAGUUGUUUUCCAUGGCUGGCUAUUGGGAAGUGUGCUGCAUGAACAUAGCGGGGGCUUUUACAUUUUUCAAAGACCCAAUUCCGGAAAUAGGACCAAGAGUGGGAGGCCUGGGUGCUGAGGUCGUCCGCUAUUGAUUUUUGUGGAUUCCCUCGAUCGUGUGGUCCAUCGCGGUUGUCCACACGUACAAAAAUACCCACCGUGGAGGAGGGCAUCUUCUUGUCCACACCCUCUCAGGGAUGUGUGCCUUGUAGACUUCCUAAUGGUGGCCCUUCAGAGAGAGGUGGGUUGGUCCUGCAGAGUCCCUUUGACGUGCAUGUCUCUCCUCAUGAGGGAUGCGGGGCACAUGUCUCCCAGUGCUUUUUGCCCUCUGCAUGUCUGUUUCGGGAAAUGUCUCUUGAGGUCUUUUGCCAUUUUCCCCUUGGGUUUGGGGUUUUGUUGGGCUGUUGGCUGGUGUCUGCGGUCGAGCUGUUGAUUGGGAGACCCCAGGCUGACCUGGGCUCUGGUGCCAGGAGGAAAGUGCCUGAGGGUCGUGCAUGGAAGGUGGUCAAACGGUGAUCCUUUGGUGAGCAGCUGUGUUAAUCCCUGGGCAGUUUCUCGCCUGAGGUCUCCUGAAACGCCGUCCUUGUCUUUACCUUGGAGCCUCUUCCGUUCCCUCAAUACAGCUGGUCCGGAAAUCGGACCUAAGGCUGGUAGAUUGAUUGCGAAAAAGGGAGGUGUCCCCAAGAGUCCCCCCAAUCCCCUGGGGAACAGAGCUGUCUUUGUCCCUGUGGCGGGCGUGCUCACCUCUGCUGCUGGGAAAACAUCGACGUGCAGACAACUCAGGCCAGCUGCGGUGGGGUCCAUACACUAGGAAGCACGAGGGAAAGAGAGGACAAAAGGAAUGAACGGAAAGAAGCAGUAUUCUGGCAUAGGAAUGAAGGAGUCACAGCUGGAAAGCUAUGAACAAAAUCAGUGGGUACAUACCUACGGACCUGUCUCCAUAACGGCAUCGUGGCAGGGCUAUCUCCCAAAGGGAGAAGGCUGUCCUGAUAGGAUGGGUUGGGAGCUGAAGGUUUGCAUGGAGUGGCAAGGUGGAGGUGGGCCUCCAGGCUCCGAAAGCCUUUGAGAGAGCAAUGGCCCUCCUGGAUUGGCCCUUCUUGCUAGAUCAGGCCGGCGGCGGGGGCGGCGGCGGCGGCGGCAGCUGCGGGGGAAGGCCAUUCCAGGAGCAUAUUGCCCCCAGCCAGUGCCGCCCUGGGGGGCGGCUGAGGCAGAGAGAGGAGGAAAACCUGAGAGUUGCUGUUAGAGCAGGUGUCCACAAGACGGCGCCAGAGCACCUUCUGGACCCAGGUGCAGCGGCAAGGCUGCAGGUGCAGGCUGAGUGGUGGGAUGGAGAGUGUGUGGAUAGGAAGCCACAGCAAGCGCCCAGAGGCCUUUGCGUUGGUUCCUGGGCACCGGGGACUGUCUGGUCCAAGACGCCUCCUGUCAGGCAGAGGACACAGGCGUCCCUGUAGCAUUGGGAGGUGGAUCGGCAGCCUGGUGGCUUGGGAGUGUGCUUCGAAGGCUGCUGGAAGGAGUCACUGGGUGUCGGAACGCCUUGUGUUCCUCCAGACGCAGGAGCGGAGACCCGCCCAGCAUCUGUGUGGUCUCGGGAGCUGGCCAUUUGCAAGGCCCUGACCGUCGGUGGUGGAUGUGGGUGGAGAAUCAGGCUGCUGCUGCUGCUGCUGCUGCGGAAGGAAUGGGGGGCUUUGGUGGCUUUGUGGUGGACCCAGAGCUGGGCGAAUCCCUGUGCUUCUCCCUUCCAAAGGCUCAGGGGAGUUUCCUUCUUGCCUUUUGAGAGGAGCCUCCCGUUUCCGGACGGGGCCAGGGUAUGGAGGCCUGAGCGAACCCAGGUCUGGUGAAUGAAGCAGGGUUGAUUGGAAUCACCCAGCAAGCUCUCAGGGAGUUCCCUCGUGGCUGCCUGGCUUGAGAGUGUCUAUCUGUCAGUGCUGUGGCUGUGGACAUGGCUCCAGCGAGAUCCAAGUCUGGCCAAAGGGCACCCCAUUGUCACAGGGGGCAUCGAGAUCCAUUUAUAAAGACGAAGAGAUGGGGACAGUAUGAGCUUAAUUGAGAAAGAAGAAAAGGGGUACACAUGCUUAUUCUGACAGUGUAGCUAAGGGUAUUGCCAGAUGAGGCAGUCCCAAAGGCUCUCCUGACCCUCUGCCUCAGGUGGCAGAGUGUUUGAAGGGCAAGCCUUGGGAUGGACAGCAUCGCAGUGGAUUCAUUGCCGGGGCAGAGUGUAUCUGCAUGCCACACAUGGGGGCAGGAACAUCAAUUAGGGAUUUAGAAACAUAAAAGGAAAUGCUAGUACAGAAAGAAAUUUAUCCACGCUUGGUCAUCACGUCGGGUCCCAGCUCAUAGUGCCAGUGCCCCUUGUCAGGGUCAACGGAGCCCGCCUGGCUUCUCCUGAGAGGCAGGGCUAUGUACCAUAGCACAUGCUGUGGGGAAUCCCAAGCCAUUAAGGGUGUGGGAUUUUAUCGGUGAUUAUUUUCCAUUCUCACGGAUGUAUGGUGCCCAGUUUCACUUGAGCACAAACGCGAUCCAGUCGUACAUGUAUAUGCAUCUUCUUUUGGUCGCAGUGUCUUCCAUUUUGGUUCCACAGAAGUGGCCAGGUAUAAUCCCUGUGCUAUAGAGCAGGACUUCAUUGCUAACACAUGCCAAGCACAAGAGGUUGACUCUACCACUCCCAAAUCCCAGGCCUUCCCACAGCCUCCCCCUACCAUCUGGCAACCACAGCGAUGUUUUCCAGUCUAUGAGCUGCUUCUACAUAGAAAGGUUCGUUGGUUCCAUUUGCUAGCUUCCACAUAGAAGGGAUAGCCCUUGGUAUGUGUCGUUCGUGUUCCGACUUAGUUCACCUAGUAUGAAACGAGGUGUCACCUAGCUUCUCGUGCCACCUACAUGGCUGCGAAUGGCAUUUUCCUCUUGCUCUGGGGUUUUCGGGGUUCUGCUUUUUUUUUUUUUUCUCAAUGUUUGAGGAGCAUUCCAAUGUGUACAUAUCCACUCUCUUCCUAAUCCAAUCAUCUCUCGAUGGACAUUGAGUUGUUUUCCAUGGCUGGCUAUUGGGAAGUGUGCUGCAUGAACAUAGCGGGGGCUUUUACAUUUUUCAAAGACCCAAUUCCGGAAAUAGGACCAAGAGUGGGAGGCCUGGGUGCUGAGGUCGUCCGCUAUUGAUUUUUGUGGAUUCCCUCGAUCGUGUGGUCCAUCGCGGUUGUCCACACGUACAAAAAUACCCACCGUGGAGGAGGGCAUCUUCUUGUCCACACCCUCUCAGGGAUGUGUGCCUUGUAGACUUCCUAAUGGUGGCCCUUCAGAGAGAGGUGGGUUGGUCCUUCAGAGUCCCUUUGACGUGCAUGUCUCUCCUCAUGAGGGAUGCGGGGCACAUGUCUCCCAGUGCUUUUUGCCCUCUGCAUGUCUGUUUCGGGAAAUGUCUCUUGAGGUCUUUUGCCAUUUUCCCCUUGGGUUUGGGGUUUUGUUGGGCUGUUGGCUGGUGUCUGCGGUCGAGCUGUUGAUUGGGAGACCCCAGGCUGACCUGGGCUCUGGUGCCAGGAGGAAAGUGCCUGAGGGUCGUGCAUGGAAGGUGGUCAAACGGUGAUCCUUUGGUGAGCAGCUGUGUUAAUCCCUGGGCAGUUUCUCGCCUGAGGUCUCCUGAAACGCCGUCCUUGUCUUUACCUUGGAGCCUCUUCCGUUCCCUCAAUACAGCUGGUCCGGAAAUCGGACCUAAGGCUGGUAGAUUGAUUGCGAAAAAGGGAGGUGUCCCCAAGAGUCCCCCCAAUCCCCUGGGGAACAGAGCUGUCUUUGUCCCUGUGGCGGGCGUGCUCACCUCUGCUGCUGGGAAAACAUCGACGUGCAGACAACUCAGGCCAGCUGCGGUGGGGUCCAUACACUAGGAAGCACGAGGGAAAGAGAGGACAAAAGGAAUGAACGGAAAGAAGCAGUAUUCUGGCAUAGGAAUGAAGGAGUCACAGCUGGAAAGCUAUGAACAAAAUCAGUGGGUACAUACCUACGGACCUGUCUCCAUAACGGCAUCGUGGCAGGGCUAUCUCCCAAAGGGAGAAGGCUGUCCUGAUAGGAUGGGUUGGGAGCUGAAGGUUUGCAUGGAGUGGCAAGGUGGAGGUGGGCCUCCAGGCUCCGAAAGCCUUUGAGAGAGCAAUGGCCCUCCUGGAUUGGCCCUUCUUGCUAGAUCAGGCCGGCGGCGGGGGCGGCGGCGGCGGCGGCAGCUGCGGGGGAAGGCCAUUCCAGGAGCAUAUUGCCCCCAGCCAGUGCCGCCCUGGGGGGCGGCUGAGGCAGAGAGAGGAGGAAAACCUGAGAGUUGCUGUUAGAGCAGGUGUCCACAAGACGGCGCCAGAGCACCUUCUGGACCCAGGUGCAGCGGCAAGGCUGCAGGUGCAGGCUGAGUGGUGGGAUGGAGAGUGUGUGGAUAGGAAGCCACAGCAAGCGCCCAGAGGCCUUUGCGUUGGUUCCUGGGCACCGGGGACUGUCUGGUCCAAGACGCCUCCUGUCAGGCAGAGGACACAGGCGUCCCUGUAGCAUUGGGAGGUGGAUCGGCAGCCUGGUGGCUUGGGAGUGUGCUUCGAAGGCUGCUGGAAGGAGUCACUGGGUGUCGGAACGCCUUGUGUUCCUCCAGACGCAGGAGCGGAGACCCGCCCAGCAUCUGUGUGGUCUCGGGAGCUGGCCAUUUGCAAGGCCCUGACCGUCGGUGGUGGAUGUGGGUGGAGAAUCAGGCGGCUGCUGCUGCUGCUGCUGCUGCUGCUGCUGCUGUGGAAGGAAUGGGGGGCUUUGGUGGCUUUGUGGUGGACCCAGAGCUGGGCGAAUCCCUGUGCUUCUCCCUUCCAAAGGCUCAGGGGAGUUUCCUUCUUGCCUUUUGAGAGGAGCCUCCCGUUUCCGGACGGGGCCAGGGUAUGGAGGCCUGAGCGAACCCAGGUCUGGUGAAUGAAGCAGGGUUGAUUGGAAUCACCCAGCAAGCUCUCAGGGAGUUCCCUCGUGGCUGCCUGGCUUGAGAGUGUCUAUCUGUCAGUGCUGUGGCUGUGGACAUGGCUCCAGCGAGAUCCAAGUCUGGCCAAAGGGCACCCCAUUGUCACAGGGGGCAUCGAGAUCCAUUUAUAAAGACGAAGAGAUGGGGACAGUAUGAGCUUAAU